RNAcentral lists this ribosomal RNA (700 nucleotides) under uncultured Hydrogenophaga sp. RNAcentral describes it as "bacterial SSU rRNA". It matches the Rfam family "Bacterial small subunit ribosomal RNA", at positions 59 to 756 of the family's 1533-position model. The record is from RNAcentral. Lineage: Bacteria; Pseudomonadati; Pseudomonadota; Betaproteobacteria; Burkholderiales; Comamonadaceae.
CAGUCGAACGGUAACAGGCCGCAAGGUGCUGACGAGUGGCGAACGGGUGAGUAAUGCAUCGGAACGUGCCCAAUCGUGGGGGAUAACGCAGCGAAAGCUGUGCUAAUACCGCAUACGAUCUAUGGAUGAAAGCGGGGGACCGUAAGGCCUCGCGCGAUUGGAGCGGCCGAUGUCAGAUUAGCUAGUUGGUGGGGUAAAGGCCCACCAAGGCGACGAUCUGUAGCUGGUCUGAGAGGACGACCAGCCACACUGGGACUGAGACACGGCCCAGACUCCUACGGGAGGCAGCAGUGGGGAAUUUUGGACAAUGGGCGCAAGCCUGAUCCAGCAAUGCCGCGUGCAGGAAGAAGGCCUUCGGGUUGUAAACUGCUUUUGUACGGAACGAAACGGCUCUGGUUAAUACCUGGGGCUAAUGACGGUACCGUAAGAAUAAGCACCGGCUAACUACGUGCCAGCAGCCGCGGUAAUACGUAGGGUGCAAGCGUUAAUCGGAAUUACUGGGCGUAAAGCGUGCGCAGGCGGUUUUGUAAGACAGGCGUGAAAUCCCCGGGCUCAACCUGGGAAUUGCGCUUGUGACUGCAAAGCUGGAGUGCGGCAGAGGGGGAUGGAAUUCCGCGUGUAGCAGUGGAAUGCGUAGAUAUGCGGAGGAACACCGAUGGCGAAGGCAAUCCCCUGGGCCUGCACUGACGCUCAUGCACGA